Molecule: long non-coding RNA, 237 nt
Filed under: Elaeis guineensis (African oil palm)
Lineage: Eukaryota; Viridiplantae; Streptophyta; Magnoliopsida; Arecales; Arecaceae
Description: long non-coding RNA (EGUI_LNC039890)
Source: RNAcentral
CCUCUUCUCUCUUCUUCCAUCAAAAUAAAAUAAAAAAAUCAGAAAAGGAUUGUUUUGAUCUAGGCCCCUUAAUUGCAUAUCUGAAUAAUUAAAACAAUCUAAGAUGGAUCUCAACAGUAGAUUAGAUAAGCUAUCUCACAGAUUCUAUCGUCUAAUACCCAUCAGAUACUCUCUCUAUCUAUCUUAUCUUCCUACGCAACAAGUUUGCCCAAUAUGUUCGAGCCUCACUCACGAUGU